This 129-nucleotide long non-coding RNA is filed under the name Microcebus murinus (gray mouse lemur). RNAcentral's name for it is "lncRNA (ENSMICG00000048592.1)". Lineage: Eukaryota; Metazoa; Chordata; Mammalia; Primates; Cheirogaleidae. The record is from RNAcentral.
ACACCCCAGGCAGCCUCUGGCAGGUCUUUCCAACAGCCGAGGCCUGGUGACUUCUAACAACUGCAGAUGUCCAGAAAGCUGGGAAUUGACCUGAAGUAAAUUCAACAGAAUACCAUUAAAAACAGGGAG